Molecule: ribosomal RNA, 1655 nt
Filed under: Salmonella enterica subsp. enterica
Lineage: Bacteria; Pseudomonadati; Pseudomonadota; Gammaproteobacteria; Enterobacterales; Enterobacteriaceae
Description: partial 23S ribosomal RNA
Rfam family: Bacterial large subunit ribosomal RNA
Source: RNAcentral
CUUAUGCGUUGUUGGGUAGGGGAGCGUUCUGUAAGCCUGCGAAGGUGGCCUGUGAGGGUUGCUGGAGGUAUCAGAAGUGCGAAUGCUGACAUAAGUAACGAUAAAGCGGGUGAAAAGCCCGCUCGCCGGAAGACCAAGGGUUCCUGUCCAACGUUAAUCGGGGCAGGGUGAGUCGACCCCUAAGGCGAGGCCGAAAGGCGUAGUCGAUGGGAAACGGGUUAAUAUUCCCGUACUUGGUGUUACUGCGAAGGGGGGACGGAGAAGGCUAUGUUGGCCGGGCGACGGUUGUCCCGGUUUAAGCGUGUAGGCUGGUUUUCCAGGCAAAUCCGGAAAAUCAAGGCUGAGGCGUGAUGACGAGGCACUACGGUGCUGAAGCAACAAAUGCCCUGCUUCCAGGAAAAGCCUCUAAGCAUCAGGUAACAUCAAAUCGUACCCCAAACCGACACAGGUGGUCAGGUAGAGAAUACCAAGGCGCUUGAGAGAACUCGGGUGAAGGAACUAGGCAAAAUGGUGCCGUAACUUCGGGAGAAGGCACGCUGACACGUAGGUGAAGUGAUUUACUCAUGGAGCUGAAGUCAGUCGAAGAUACCAGCUGGCUGCAACUGUUUAUUAAAAACACAGCACUGUGCAAACACGAAAGUGGACGUAUACGGUGUGACGCCUGCCCGGUGCCGGAAGGUUAAUUGAUGGGGUCAGCGCAAGCGAAGCUCCUGAUCGAAGCCCCGGUAAACGGCGGCCGUAACUAUAACGGUCCUAAGGUAGCGAAAUUCCUUGUCGGGUAAGUUCCGACCUGCACGAAUGGCGUAAUGAUGGCCAGGCUGUCUCCACCCGAGACUCAGUGAAAUUGAACUCGCUGUGAAGAUGCAGUGUACCCGCGGCAAGACGGAAAGACCCCGUGAACCUUUACUAUAGCUUGACACUGAACAUUGAGCCUUGAUGUGUAGGAUAGGUGGGAGGCUUUGAAGUGUGGACGCCAGUCUGCAUGGAGCCGACCUUGAAAUACCACCCUUUAAUGUUUGAUGUUCUAACGUGGACCCGUUACCCGGGUUGCGGACAGUGUCUGGUGGGUAGUUUGACUGGGGCGGUCUCCUCCUAAAGAGUAACGGAGGAGCACGAAGGUUGGCUAAUCCUGGUCGGACAUCAGGAGGUUAGUGCAAUGGCAUAAGCCAGCUUGACUGCGAGCGUGACGGCGCGAGCAGGUGCGAAAGCAGGUCAUAGUGAUCCGGUGGUUCUGAAUGGAAGGGCCAUCGCUCAACGGAUAAAAGGUACUCCGGGGAUAACAGGCUGAUACCGCCCAAGAGUUCAUAUCGACGGCGGUGUUUGGCACCUCGAUGUCGGCUCAUCACAUCCUGGGGCUGAAGUAGGUCCCAAGGGUAUGGCUGUUCGCCAUUUAAAGUGGUACGCGAGCUGGGUUUAGAACGUCGUGAGACAGUUCGGUCCCUAUCUGCCGUGGGCGCUGGAGAACUGAGGGGGGCUGCUCCUAGUACGAGAGGACCGGAGUGGACGCAUCACUGGUGUUCGGGUUGUCAUGCCAAUGGCACUGCCCGGUAGCUAAAUGCGGAAGAGAUAAGUGCUGAAAGCAUCUAAGCACGAAACUUGCCCCGAGAUGAGUUCUCCCUGAGACUUUAGGUCUCCUGAAGGAACGUUGAAGACGA